Molecule: unclassified non-coding RNA, 418 nt
Filed under: soil metagenome
Description: partial contains 5.8S ribosomal RNA, internal transcribed spacer 2, and large subunit ribosomal RNA
Rfam family: 5.8S ribosomal RNA (bases 1-120)
Source: RNAcentral
GAUGAAGAACGCAGCGAAAUGCGAUAAGUAAUGUGAAUUGCAGAAUUCAGUGAAUCAUCGAAUCUUUGAACGCAUCUUGCGCUCCUUGGUAUUCCUUGGAGCAUGCCUGUUUGAGUAUCAUGAGCAAACCUCAAAGUCAAUUCCUUUUGUUAAUUCAAUUGGUUUUGCUUUGGACUCGGAGGUCUUGCAGAUUUCACAGUCUGCUCCUCUUAAAUGCAUUAGCUGGAUCUCAGUAAUUAUGCUUGGUUCCACUCGGCGUGAUAAGUAUCACUCGCUGAGGACACUGUUAAAAAGGUGGCCAGGAAAAUACUGAUUGAACCGCUUCUAACGGUCUAUUAAGUUAGACAAUUACCCUUAAGUUUGAUCUCAAAUCAGGUAGGACUACCCGCUGAACUUAAGCAUAUCAAUAAGCGGAGGA